This 164-nucleotide ribosomal RNA is filed under the name uncultured bacterium. Its description in RNAcentral is "partial 16S rRNA". It matches the Rfam family "Bacterial small subunit ribosomal RNA", at positions 355 to 511 of the family's 1533-position model. The record is from RNAcentral.
UAGGGAAUCUUCCACAAUGGACGCAAGUCUGAUGGAGCAACGCCGCGUGAGUGAAGAAGGUCUUCGGAUCGUAAAACUCUGUUGUUAGAGAAGAACACGAGUGAGAGUAACUGUUCAUUCGAUGACGGUAUCUAACCAGCAAGUCACGGCUAACUACGUGACAG